CAGUCGCCACGGGAAUACGUAUGGGGCAAGCGUUAUCCGGAUUUACUGGGCGUAAAGGGAGCGUAGGCGGCAGGGCAAGUCAGAUGUGAAAGACCGGGGCUCAACUUCGGGGUUGCAUUUGAAACUGUCCGGCUAGAGUGUCGGAGAGGUAAGCGGAAUUCCUAGUGUAGUGGUGAAAUGCGUAGAUAUUAGGAGGAACAUCGGUGGCGAAGGCGGCUUACUGGACGAUAACUGACGCUGAGGCUCGAAAGCGUGGGGAGCAAACAGGAUUAGAUACCCCUGUAGUCCCUGUCUCUUAUAC
This 301-nucleotide ribosomal RNA is filed under the name uncultured bacterium. Its description in RNAcentral is "partial 16S ribosomal RNA". It matches the Rfam family "Bacterial small subunit ribosomal RNA", at positions 509 to 807 of the family's 1533-position model. The record is from RNAcentral.